This 473-nucleotide ribosomal RNA is filed under the name uncultured bacterium. RNAcentral's name for it is "bacterial SSU rRNA". It matches the Rfam family "Bacterial small subunit ribosomal RNA", at positions 28 to 520 of the family's 1533-position model. The record is from RNAcentral.
GACGAACGCUGGCGGCAUGCCUAAUACAUGCAAGUCGAACGAAGCACUUGUGCUUAGUGGCGAACGGGUGAGUAAUACGUAAGCAACCUGCCCUAAACACGGGGAUAACUACUGGAAACGGUAGCUAAUACCCGAUAGGUCAUAAAGUGGCAUCACUUAAUGAUUAAAGGUCCCUUCAAGGACCAGUUUGGGAUGGGCUUAUGGCGCAUUAGCUAGUUGGUGAGGUAACGGCUCACCAAGGCGAUGAUGCGUAGCCGACCUGAGAGGGUGAUCGGCCACAUUGGGACUGAGACACGGCCCAAACUCCUACGGGAGGCAGCAGUAGGGAAUAUUGGGCAAUGGGCGCAAGCCUGACCCAGCAACGCCGCGUGAAGGAAGAAGGCUUUCGGGUUGUAAACUUCUUUGACCAGGGAAGAAACAAAUGACGGUACCUGGAAAACAAGCCACGGCUAACUACGUGCCAGCCGCCGCCG